Long non-coding RNA from Dama dama (fallow deer), 493 nucleotides. RefSeq lists it as uncharacterized. Lineage: Eukaryota; Metazoa; Chordata; Mammalia; Artiodactyla; Cervidae. The record is from RefSeq and is a predicted model, not a curated record. The transcript has 3 exons.
CUGAGGCCAAGGGUUAGCCGUUUCCUAGGUGAGCUGGCUCCCGAGGCAGCCAUGGUUCCUCUUGCCCAACUGUCCACGCCCCAAGGCCCGCAGCCCUCUCGUGACUCAGGAGGCUGCCUGGAGGAGGAGGAUUUGAGGAGAGGAAGACGCAGGGCCUCGGGAGACCUGGCCUGUGGACAGUCAUGCCUCUGAAUGGACACUUCCCUGACGGGACGGCCCGGGCAGAGGGUCACCCCUGGAUGAGCUCGGGACUCAGGUCCCUCUGGAGAGCUGAGGAUUCAAGGCAAAAUUUGGUUCAUGAAUUUGUGCUACCCAGGUCACCUGUUUUGGACUCAGACAGUGCAUAAUUGGCUGCAAAGUACAGGAAUACAAAGGUCUCCAUCCUGCAUGACAGAGUAGAAAUGUGAGACACAGAGGUGCAUCCCUUGUAGGUAAGGCAGCGACUGUUCUAGAAGUCUCUUACAGCAGUCCACCAUCUGUAUACUGGAAACGC